UACGGAGGGUGCAAGCGUUGUUCGGAUUUACUGGGCCUAAAGCGCGCGCAGGUGGAUGGACAAGUCGGAAGUGAAAUCUUGAGGCUCAACCUCGAGGCUGCUCCCGAAACUGUUCGUCUAGGGACUGGUAGAGGCUGGUAGAAUUCCCGGUGUAGCGGUGGAAUGCGUAGAGAUCGGGAAGAAUACCCGUGGCGAAGGCGGCCAGCUGGGCCAGGUCCGACACUGAGGCGCGAAAGCGUGGGGAGCAAACAGG
This 253-nucleotide ribosomal RNA is filed under the name uncultured bacterium. Its description in RNAcentral is "partial 16S ribosomal RNA". It matches the Rfam family "Bacterial small subunit ribosomal RNA", at positions 524 to 776 of the family's 1533-position model. The record is from RNAcentral.